Molecule: ribosomal RNA, 301 nt
Filed under: uncultured bacterium
Lineage: Bacteria
Description: partial 16S ribosomal RNA
Rfam family: Bacterial small subunit ribosomal RNA
Source: RNAcentral
CAGUCGCCGCGGUAAUACGUAGGGUGCAAGCGUUAAUCGGAAUUACUGGGCGCAAAGCGUGCGCAGGCGGUUAUAUAAGUCAGAUGUGAAAUCCCCGGGCUCAACCUGGGAACUGCAUUUGAGACUGUAUGGCUAGAGUGUGUCAGAGGGAGGUAGAAUCCCACGUGUAGCAGUGAAAUGCGUAGAUAUGUGGAGGAAUACCGAUGGCGAAGGCAGCCCCCUGGGAUAACACUGACGCUUAUGCACGAAAGCGUGGGGAGCAAACAGGAUUAGAUACCCCAGUAGUCCCUGUCUCUUAUAC